This 337-nucleotide unclassified non-coding RNA is filed under the name soil metagenome. RNAcentral's name for it is "partial contains 5.8S ribosomal RNA, internal transcribed spacer 2, and large subunit ribosomal RNA". The stretch from base 1 to 120 matches the Rfam family "5.8S ribosomal RNA", at positions 35 to 154 of the family's 154-position model. The record is from RNAcentral.
GAUGAAGAACGUAGCGAAAUGCGAUAAGUAAUGUGAAUUGCAGAAUUCCGUGAAUCAUCGAAUCUUUGAACGCACAUUGCGCCCCCUGGCAUUCCGGGGGGCAUGCCUGUCCGAGCGUCAUUUCUGCCCUCAAGCACGGCUUGUGUGUUGGGUGUGGUCCCCCCGGGGACCUGCCCGAAAGGCAGCGGCGACGUCCGUCUGGUCCUCGAGCGUAUGGGGCUCUGUCACUCGCUCGGGAAGGACCUGCGGGGGUUGGUCACCACUAUAUUUUACCACGGUUGACCUCGGAUCAGGUAGGAGUUACCCGCUGAACUUAAGCAUAUCAAUAAGCGGAAGA